GUGACAGAAGACUUCAUGUCUUUGGUACUUGGUCUCUCCAGAGCAUCACUGGCUACAACUGGAAUUGCUUUGUGUUAAACAAGCAUAGCUUAGGAAUGAGUA
Thalassophryne amazonica is the source of this 102-nucleotide long non-coding RNA. RefSeq lists it as uncharacterized. NCBI's taxonomy places the organism in Eukaryota, Metazoa, Chordata, Actinopteri, Batrachoidiformes, Batrachoididae. The record is from RefSeq and is a predicted model, not a curated record. The transcript is spliced from 3 exons.